GUGGUGGCUCAAUGGUAGAGCACUUACCUAGCAUGUGUGAGGCACUGGGUUCAAUUCUCAGUACCAUA
This 68-nucleotide transfer RNA is filed under the name Ictidomys tridecemlineatus (thirteen-lined ground squirrel). Its description in RNAcentral is "Spermophilus tridecemlineatus (thirteen-lined ground squirrel) tRNA". It matches the Rfam family "tRNA". Rfam says of the family: Transfer RNA (tRNA) molecules are approximately 80 nucleotides in length. Their secondary structure includes four short double-helical elements and three loops (D, anti-codon, and T loops). Further hydrogen bonds mediate the characteristic L-shaped molecular structure. tRNAs have two regions of fundamental functional importance: the anti-codon, which is responsible for specific mRNA codon recognition, and the 3' end, to which the tRNAs corresponding amino acid is attached (by aminoacyl-tRNA synthetases). tRNAs cope with the degeneracy of the genetic code in two manners: having more than one tRNA (with a specific anti-codon) for a particular amino acid; and 'wobble' base-pairing, i.e. permitting non-standard base-pairing at the 3rd anti-codon position. Lineage: Eukaryota; Metazoa; Chordata; Mammalia; Rodentia; Sciuridae. The record is from Rfam by way of RNAcentral.